RNAcentral lists this unclassified non-coding RNA (241 nucleotides) under Hevea brasiliensis (rubber tree). Lineage: Eukaryota; Viridiplantae; Streptophyta; Magnoliopsida; Malpighiales; Euphorbiaceae. The record is from RNAcentral.
AUUGCUAUAAAUCUCGGUGAGGAUGUUAAUUAUAUAGUGCAGUCUUCCCUAAAUUGUUUAUUAUUUUCAUACAUUAUCAGGCGAGUUCUGAUUUUUAGCAAGAACACUUGAAUUUAUAGAGCUUCCUUGCCUCCCCCCCUCCUCCUUUUUUUUUCACUCUCUCACUUUAAAACUCUUAGUCAAUGCAUGCUAAUGUUCUUGUCUUUUCUUUUCCCUCCCUUUUUUUACUAUAGUAAGCAGG